This 347-nucleotide ribosomal RNA is filed under the name uncultured bacterium. RNAcentral describes it as "partial 16S ribosomal RNA". It matches the Rfam family "Bacterial small subunit ribosomal RNA", at positions 338 to 682 of the family's 1533-position model. The record is from RNAcentral.
CCUACGGGUGGCAGCAGGGAGGAAUAUUGGGAAAUGGGCGCGAGCCGGAACCAGCCAAGUAGCGUGAAGGAUGACGGCCCGACGGGGUGUAAACUUCGUUUAUAAAGGAAUAAAGUGAGGCACGUGUGCCUUUUUGUAUGUACAUUAUGAAUAAGGAUCGGCUAACUCCGUGCCAGCAGCCGCGGUAAUACGGAGGAUCCGAGCGUUAUCCGGAUUGGUUGGGUUGAAAGGGAGCGUAGAGGGGUUGUUAAGUCAGUUGUGCAAGUUUGCGGCGCCACCGUCAAAUUGCACUUGAUAAUGGCAGCCUUGAGUACUGUUGAGGUCGGCGGAAUUCGUGGUGUAGCUGU